Molecule: ribosomal RNA, 429 nt
Filed under: Gemmatimonadota bacterium
Lineage: Bacteria; Pseudomonadati; Gemmatimonadota
Description: Gemmatimonadetes bacterium partial 16S ribosomal RNA
Rfam family: Bacterial small subunit ribosomal RNA
Source: RNAcentral
UAGGGAAUCUUCGGCAAUGGACGAAAGUCUGACCGAGCAACGCCGCGUGAGUGAAGAAGGUUUUCGGAUCGUAAAACUCUGUUGUUAGAGAAGAACAAGGACGUUAGUAACUGAACGUCCCCUGACGGUAUCUAACCAGAAAGCCACGGCUAACUACGUGCCAGCAGCCGCGGUACUACGUAGGUGGCAAGCGUUGUCCGGAUUUAUUGGGCGUAAAGCGAGCGCAGGCGGUUUCUUAAGUCUGAUGUGAAAGCCCCCGGCUCAACCGGGGAGGGUGAUUGGAGACUGGGAGAGUUGAGUGCAGAAGAGGAGAGUGGAAUUCCAUGUGUAGAGGUGAAAUGAGUAGGUAUAGGGAGGAACACGAGUGGCGAAGGCGGCGCUCUGGUCUGUAACUGACGCUGAGGCUGGAAAGCGUGGGGAGAAAACAGG